RNAcentral lists this long non-coding RNA (1192 nucleotides) under Homo sapiens (human). RNAcentral describes it as "non-protein coding lnc-PMAIP1-13:2". The record is from RNAcentral. Lineage: Eukaryota; Metazoa; Chordata; Mammalia; Primates; Hominidae.
GUGCAACAUUUCCAGAAAUGUACCAGAGUUGUUCGUGAUCAUAACCCCAAAUCAUUGGUACCUCGAUGUUUAGAGGGGAAACAGCAUUGGCUGGGCAAGCUGGGGCAGGGAACGUGAUGAACAGUGGGCUGGAAUAAGUUAACUGGAGGAGGGGAGGCGUCUCAGGAAGGGAGAAUAGCAUGAACAGCAGCAUAGACGUGAGAAUAACCAUCUGGAGUGAUGAACCUAUGCUGAGUAGAAAGUUCCAGAAGGCUGCAUAAGGGAGGUGUGUGAACAGCAGAAGCAGGACAAACCUGAGAUGGGAGAAGAUGGCUAAACUGAAGCAACUUGGAGCUAGAAGAUAGGCUGCAUCUGCUCAGUUCACCUGCGCAGACCAAAAACAGUGCACGCUGUAGGCGGCCCAGUCCAGCUGAAUUUCAUCAGAUGGGCAUGUGUUUCCUUCCCCAACUGCUGGCCUCAGCUUCUCAGAAGGUAAUGUAUUGAGCCAAGGUGAGCCCUGCAGGUGAUCACCUGGACACCUCUGCCCAUCUGUGAGAGUGAACAGCAUGCUUACUACUGUGGUAGGCUGCAGUGCCACAGCAAGCUGAUUCACACGUAAAGGACAUGGGCAGGCCAUGAGUUCUCUCUAUCCAGGGACAUCUUGCCAACUAAACCUCCCACCUGCCACCUCCACCUUAGUCCUGCCUGAGUGUGCUCUCACCCACUACCUUCACGGAUGUCUCUGCGUCUCUGUUCACUGGCUGUUUCCACUCUCAAACCUACUUCCUUUUCCUCUCUGCAGAGGGGUGCAUCUCGGGUUAUCUCCAAACGAUGUUCGAUUCCACUCUCUCCUUUUAUUCAAACAAUUCUCCUCACAUGAGUGGCUACCCAGCAAGUCUGGCUCUCCCUCCAGCAACCCAAUCUAGAAAGCUAUAGCAUCUGUCUCAUAAGGGCUGGGUUGGCUGUGGUUCAUUAAGAAGGUAUUAAGCACUUUAUUGUACCAGCUUGCCAGAAACCGAAGACUCCUUCUAAAUCUGUUGCUUCACCUGAUGCCGAUUUUACUAGCAGUCUGUCCUAAAAAUGGUAUAUCUGGUAAUAAAAACAGAUAUUUUGAGCACCUAUUAGAUUUCAGAUGCCAUGAACUAUUCACUAGUUGAUUUAUCUUUUGCAUCUAUUCAUCAAUUCCUUUAUUUUUUGCACUAGCACUGCAAGC